Long non-coding RNA from Pseudophryne corroboree (corroboree frog), 430 nucleotides. RefSeq lists it as uncharacterized. The record is from RefSeq and is a predicted model, not a curated record. NCBI's taxonomy places the organism in Eukaryota, Metazoa, Chordata, Amphibia, Anura, Myobatrachidae. The transcript has 3 exons.
GCCAAUAAGAGCUGUUAGCCAUGACCCAUUUUGAAAAACCCUGGUCGGACCCUUUCACAUUACUGGCAACCUGUGUAAGAUCCGGGGGAAAAACCCAGCUCCAGAAGUCAGGCUGAAGGUACCUGCUGAAAAGAGAUCUUCGCGCCAUCAAGAGUAUCUGGCUGAAAACUUUACUUAUCUAUAAUGUUUAUGUUGUAUGUCCAUCACGUCCAUGACCACCCAGACCACCGGCUGAAGAGUGUGAAGAUGCAUCUGCUGACCAAGUGCUGGUGUUGACACCCAUCGACACGCUUGACCUCCCAGAUGUGGGUAAUGUUGAUACCCAACAGCAAUAACAACAAACAGCCGGACCAACCACAUCUAAACCAGACCGCACUCCAUCUGUGGUGGAAUUUACACUGUCUUUCAAAAACUUUGUAUCAUUUUCUGC